This is a long non-coding RNA of Oncorhynchus tshawytscha (Chinook salmon), 1250 nucleotides long. The record is from Ensembl. NCBI's taxonomy places the organism in Eukaryota, Metazoa, Chordata, Actinopteri, Salmoniformes, Salmonidae.
UAGGGCAGGUACUUUUGUCUAGUUCCUGUCCCUUGGAAGUGAGGACGGAGAUAAUAGUAACAUAAUAUUCAGUGCGGUCUAAUUUGAGUAUAAUGAAGUCUGUAUCUUGUGAGGUUUUCUGUCCUCAGAUACAGAGAGCUGUGAAAGCCUGUCUGCAGAUGAAGAGGUCUCAGUGAAGAGCAGUGGCUCUCAGUCCUCAGAUACAGAGAGCUGUGAAAGCCUGUCUGCAGAUGAAGAGGUCCCAAUGAAGAGCAGUGGCUCUCAGUCCUCAGAUACAGAGAGCUGUGAAAGCCUGUCUGCAGAUGAAGAGGUCUCAGUGAAGAGCAGUGGCUCUCAGUCCUCAGAUACAGAGAGCUGUGAAAGCCUGUCUGCAGAUGAAGAGGUCUCAGUGAAGAGCAGUGGCUCUCAGUCCUCAGAUACAGAGAGCUGUGAAAGCCUGUCUGCAGAUGAAGAGGUCUCAGUGAAGAGCAGUGGCUCUCAGUCCUCAGAUACAGAGAGCUGUGAAAGUCUGUCUGCAGAUGAAGAGGUCUCAGUGAAGAGCAGUGGCUCUCAGUCCCGGUCCUGGGGACUCAAAGAGGGGCACAUUGUUGUUUUUGCCAUCUAAUUCAAAUGAUCAACUCAUCAUCAAGCUUCAGAUACUUUGUAACUGGAGAGUCCUUGAAAACGAUUUCCUAUAGUUACCGAGUGGGGCACUGCAAGGUUGGGAGACCAGAGCCAUCUAGGACUGCCUCCUGGGGGAAUUCAGGUGUGUGAAGGCUACCUGUGUCCUGCGUAACUUCAUGAGGAUGGACACGAAGACCAGGAGGGGAUCUGCAGCUCACCGUUGUGUCCCAGAGGAGAAGUCUGCUGUUCUGCAGGAGGGGAUCUGCAGCUCACCGCCGCGUGCCAGAGGAGAAGUCUGCUGCUCUGCAGGAUGUUUCAAGGAUGGGCUCCAACAAUGCAGCAAGAGAGGCAACCUGUGUGUGGGAGAUUUUCAUUCUCCUACUUCUUCGAAGAGGGUGCUGUUCCCUGGCAACACCAUAGACUACACUAUGCACAACCAAAGGCUCUUUGAAGAGGGUGCUGUUCCCUGGCAACACCAUAGACUACACUAUGCACAACCAAAGGCUCUUUUAAGAGGGUGCUGUUCCCUGGCAACACCAUAGACUACACUAUGCACAACCAAAGGCUCUUUUAAGAGGGUGCUGUUCCCUGGCAACACCAUAGACUACACUAUGCACAACCAAAGGCUCUUUGAAGAGGGUGCUGUU